Molecule: ribosomal RNA, 78 nt
Filed under: Campylopus lamellatus
Lineage: Eukaryota; Viridiplantae; Streptophyta; Bryopsida; Dicranales; Leucobryaceae
Description: partial 5.8S ribosomal RNA
Source: RNAcentral
AAUUCCGCGAAUCAUCGAGUCUUUGAACGCAAGUUGCGCCCGGGGCUCGACCCAGGGCAUUUCUGCCAGAGCNNNACC